AAUAAAAUGCCUGAUUAAAGGACUAUCUUGAUAGGAUAGAUUAAGUAAUUAUUUAUUACUUUUAUUA
This 67-nucleotide transfer RNA is filed under the name Ogadenus brumpti. Its description in RNAcentral is "tRNA-Ile". RNAcentral also lists the same sequence under 1 other name. Lineage: Eukaryota; Metazoa; Arthropoda; Arachnida; Ixodida; Argasidae. The record is from RNAcentral.